Molecule: RNA transcript, 1530 nt
Organism: Coffea arabica (coffee)
Lineage: Eukaryota; Viridiplantae; Streptophyta; Magnoliopsida; Gentianales; Rubiaceae
Source: RefSeq, a predicted model, not a curated record
UCUUCUUCUUAGGUUCUGUUCUUCUUCUUAGUUUUGUUGGAAAAUCGCUCCUGUCCGGUGGUUUUGGCGGUCAGCAAUUUCAGUCAUUGCUGGCAGCAAUUUUGGCGGUCAACAAUUUCGGCUUUAUUUCCUCUCAUUCUUUUCUUGUCUUUCUUUACCAGGUGUCCAGGCGCGAGUUCAUUCUUUUCUUGGCUUUCUUUACUGGGCGUUCAAGCAAUUUUGGCGGUGAGUUGAACUGAAUCCAGAGCGCACCGCUUCAGAGUUUUGCGCGCUUCUACUUUUCCUUAUUGUUUUCUCGGUCUUGUUUCCUCUGUUUCUUUUCUUGGCCUUCUUUACCAGAUUAAUGCCUUGAGAAUGGGUCGGAAUAGAGUAUACGGAAGUUUGGAAGAGGCAAUUAAACCAGAAUUAACCAUAAAACAGGUCUUUGCAUAAUUAAUGCUUUUACAAAUAUCUUGAAAUAAUAUUUCUUACUCCAUUAAAACUUUUCCAAUCAGAAAUUAGCAGUGAGAAUCCGAGUUCUGAUAUGAGUUCAGUGUUGCAUGGAUUGGACGAUGAGUGGGGUACGGGGCUAACGAAGACAAGAGAAAUAGGGGAAUCUGUAAACCAUUUGGCCUGACUCCUCAAUGUGUUAAUUCAUUUUUUUAAUGAAGCUGUUUAGACUUCACUAAGAGACAUGAAAACUUACCGAGUGUUGUUUUGAUCGGUUAAGUAAAUUGUUAUCGCAAUACAAAGGUGAAUCUCUUUUCCAGAUUUAUUUUCUUUAGAAUUCAUCAUAUGCUAAUUUCCAUUUCAGAUUUAUUUUAUUUAUGCUUUCCCACUACUUUCUUUAUGAGACUGGGGAUUGCCAAGUUUGUCGCAUGAAUCAGGAAUAUAUUUUAUACUAAAGGCAAAACGAAGGGCUCUAGGAAAUGUCUGGUGUUUUGGCUGAGCAUCAUCCAGCGGUAGCUAAUGCCCUGAUCGUAUGAUUGUUGGGUAACGUGUUCGAUGGUGUGAGUGCAGCAAAGGGUGUAUGUUCCAGGAAGGGAAAAGGAGAAGCAAACUGUUGAGCUGGAGGUCUGCAAUCAGGGAAUGUUCAAAACCGAGUUGUGUAACAAAUGGCAAGAGACCGGGGAAUGUCCCUAUGGAGAGAACUGCCAAUUUGCUCAUGGAAUUAAGGAGCUGCGCCCUGUACUUCGCCACCCAAGGUACAAGACUGAGGUAUGCCGCAUGGAGUUGAACGGUGGACACCGAUGAUGAGGAGAAGCUUAUCAAGUCCAUGAACAUCAGGCCCCUAAAGCUACUCAAUCGUUAGGUCCAUGAUUAUAACUCCCCUAAAUGAUGUUAGACAACUGCAAAGGUCUUGGCUGGUAUGCAACAGUGUUUUUGUUCUUCAAAGUAAGCAAUUGAUUAAUAGGCAAUAAGGCUAAGGUCUACUGAUGUGAUAAUACUAACUGCUUGAUUAAAGAAAAAACUGUAUGAUCCGUAGUCAAGGAGAUUAAAAGUAACAUUUCUCGGCAGUGCACCUUUGAUGAGUUACUGUGCAUUGUUUGC